RNAcentral lists this non-coding RNA (30 nucleotides) under Rattus norvegicus (Norway rat). The record is from RNAcentral. Lineage: Eukaryota; Metazoa; Chordata; Mammalia; Rodentia; Muridae.
UGAACUACUCGGAUGUUAGUUUGAAAGCUA